UCCCGCUUGACGCGGGCAGUCCCCCUAGAGUGCCCAACUGAAUGCUGGCAACUAACGACAGAGGUUGCGCUCGUUGCGGGACUUAACCCAACAUCUCACGACACGAGCUGACGACAGCCAUGCAGCACCUUCUCACUCGCUCCCCGAAAGGCACCAAAGCAUCUCUGCUAAGUUCGAGUGGAUUUAACCCAGGUAAGGUUCUGCGCGUUGCGUCGAAUUGAACCACAUGCUCCACCGCUUGUGCGGGCCCCCGUCAAUUCCUUUGAGUUUCAGCCUUGCGGCCGUACUCCCCAGGCGGGACACUUACUGCGUUAGCGACGGUACCGAGGGGGUCGCUCCCCCCGACGCCUAGUGUCCAUCGUUUACGGCGUGGACUAC
RNAcentral lists this unclassified non-coding RNA (378 nucleotides) under uncultured bacterium. RNAcentral describes it as "contains 16S-23S intergenic spacer region". The record is from RNAcentral.